RNAcentral lists this transfer RNA (66 nucleotides) under Cyclophorus martensianus. RNAcentral describes it as "tRNA-Trp". The record is from RNAcentral. Lineage: Eukaryota; Metazoa; Mollusca; Gastropoda; Architaenioglossa; Cyclophoridae.
AAGAUUUUAAGUUAUGUAAACUAUGGGUCUUCAAAACCUAAAAUAAAUAAAUAUAUUUAAGUCUUA